RNAcentral lists this ribosomal RNA (468 nucleotides) under uncultured bacterium. Its description in RNAcentral is "partial 16S ribosomal RNA". It matches the Rfam family "Bacterial small subunit ribosomal RNA", at positions 28 to 507 of the family's 1533-position model. The record is from RNAcentral.
GACGAACGCUGGCGGCGUGCUUAACACAUGCAAGUCGAACGGAAAGGCCCUGCUUUUGUGGGGUGCUCGAGUGGCGAACGGGUGAGUAACACGUGAGUAACCUGCCCUUGACUUUGGGAUAACUUCAGGAAACUGGGGCUAAUACCGGAUAGGAGCUCCUGCUGCAUGGUGGGGGUUGGAAAGUUUCGGCGGUUGGGGAUGGACUCGCGGCUUAUCAGCUGGUUGGUGGGGUAGUGGCUUACCAAGGCUUUGACGGGUAGCCGGCCUGAGAGGGUGACCGGCCACAUUGGGACUGAGAUACGGCCCAGACUCCUACGGGAGGCAGCAGUGGGGAAUAUUGCACAAUGGGCGGAAGCCUGAUGCAGCAACGCCGCGUGCGGGAUGACGGCCUUCGGGUUGUAAACCGCAUUCGCCUGUGACGAAGCGUGAGUGACGGUAAUGGGUAAAGAAGCACCGGCUAACUACGUG